Molecule: ribosomal RNA, 1324 nt
Filed under: Chryseobacterium indologenes
Lineage: Bacteria; Pseudomonadati; Bacteroidota; Flavobacteriia; Flavobacteriales; Weeksellaceae
Description: bacterial SSU rRNA
Rfam family: Bacterial small subunit ribosomal RNA
Source: RNAcentral
GCUAACACAUGCAAGCCGAGCGGUAGAUUGCUUUCGGGCGAUUGAGAGCGGCGUACGGGUGCGGAACACGUGUGCAACCUGCCUUUAUCAGGGGGAUAGCCUUUCGAAAGGAAGAUUAAUACCCCAUAAUAUAUCGAGUGGCAUCAUUUGAUAUUGAAAACUCCGGUGGAUAGAGAUGGGCACGCGCAAGAUUAGAUAGUUGGUGAGGUAACGGCUCACCAAGUCUACGAUCUUUAGGGGGCCUGAGAGGGUGAUCCCCCACACUGGUACUGAGACACGGACCAGACUCCUACGGGAGGCAGCAGUGAGGAAUAUUGGACAAUGGGUGAGAGCCUGAUCCAGCCAUCCCGCGUGAAGGACGACGGCCCUAUGGGUUGUAAACUUCUUUUGUAUAGGGAUAAACCUACCCUCGUGAGGGUAGCUGAAGGUACUAUACGAAUAAGCACCGGCUAACUCCGUGCCAGCAGCCGCGGUAAUACGGAGGGUGCAAGCGUUAUCCGGAUUUAUUGGGUUUAAAGGGUCCGUAGGCUGAUCUGUAAGUCAGUGGUGAAAUCUCACAGCUUAACUGUGAAACUGCCAUUGAUACUGCAGUUCUUGAGUGUUGUUGAAGUAGCUGGAAUAAGUAGUGUAGCGGUGAAAUGCAUAGAUAUUACUUAGAACACCAAUUGCGAAGGCAGGUUACUAAGCAACAACUGACGCUGAUGGACGAAAGCGUGGGGAGCGAACAGGAUUAGAUACCCUGGUAGUCCACGCCGUAAACGAUGCUAACUCGUUUUUGGGGCGCAAGCUUCAGAGACUAAGCGAAAGUGAUAAGUUAGCCACCUGGGGAGUACGAACGCAAGUUUGAAACUCAAAGGAAUUGACGGGGGCCCGCACAAGCGGUGGAUUAUGUGGUUUAAUUCGAUGAUACGCGAGGAACCUUACCAAGGCUUAAAUGGGAAAUGACAGGUUUAGAAAUAGACUUUUCUUCGGACAUUUUUCAAGGUGCUGCAUGGUUGUCGUCAGCUCGUGCCGUGAGGUGUUAGGUUAAGUCCUGCAACGAGCGCAACCCCUGUCACUAGUUGCCAUCAUUAAGUUGGGGACUCUAGUGAGACUGCCUACGCAAGUAGAGAGAAAGGGGGGGAUGACGUCAAAUCAUCACGGCCCUUACGCCUUGGGCCACACACGUAAUACAAUGGCCGGUACAGAGGGCAGCUACACUGCGAAGUGAUGCAAAUCUCGAAAGCCGGUCUCAGUUCGGAUUGGAGUCUGCAACUCGACUCUAUGAAGCUGGAAUCGCUAGUAAUCGCGCAUCAGCCAUGGCGCGGUGAAUACGUUCCCGGGC